Molecule: ribosomal RNA, 560 nt
Filed under: uncultured bacterium
Lineage: Bacteria
Description: partial 16S ribosomal RNA
Rfam family: Bacterial small subunit ribosomal RNA
Source: RNAcentral
UGGGGAAUUUUGGACAAUGGGCGAAAGCCUGGUCCAGCAAUGCCGCGUGUGUGAAGAAGGCCUUCGGGUUGUAAAGCACUUUUGUCCGGAAAGAAAUCCUUGGCUCUAAUACAGUCGGGGGAUGACGGUACCGGAAGAAUAAGCACCGGCUAACUACGUGCCAGCAGCCGCGGUAAUACGUAGGGUGCAAGCGUUAAUCGGAAUUACUGGGCGUAAAGCGUGCGCAGGCGGUUUGCUAAGACCGAUGUGAAAUCCCCGGGCUCAACCUGGGAACUGCAUUGGUGACUGGCAGGCUAGAGUAUGGCAGAGGGGGGUAGAAUUCCGCGUGUAGCAGUGAAAUGCGUAGAGAUGUGGAGGAAUACCGAUGGCGAAGGCAGCCCCCUGGGCCAAUACUGACGCUCAUGCACGAAAGCGUGGGGAGCAAACAGGAUUCAGAUACCCUGGUAGUCCACGCCCUAAACGAUGUCAACUAGUUGUUGGGGAUUCAUUUCCUUAGUAACGUAGCUAACGCGUGAAGUUGACCGCCUGGGGGAGUACGGUCGCAAGAUUAAAACUCAAAU